RNAcentral lists this ribosomal RNA (791 nucleotides) under Salmonella enterica subsp. enterica serovar Coeln. Its description in RNAcentral is "partial 23S ribosomal RNA". It matches the Rfam family "Bacterial large subunit ribosomal RNA", at positions 711 to 1503 of the family's 2925-position model. Lineage: Bacteria; Pseudomonadati; Pseudomonadota; Gammaproteobacteria; Enterobacterales; Enterobacteriaceae. The record is from RNAcentral.
AGACCCGAAACCCGGUGAUCUAGCCAUGGGCAGGUUGAAGGUUGGGUAACACUAACUGGAGGACCGAACCGACUAAUGUUGAAAAAUUAGCGGAUGACCUGUGGCUGGGGGUGAAAGGCCAAUCAAACCGGGAGAUAGCUGGUUCUCCCCGAAAGCUAUUUAGGUAGCGCCUCGUGAAUUCAUCUCCGGGGGUAGAGCACUGUUUCGGCUAGGGGGCCAUCCCGGCUUACCAACCCGAUGCAAACUGCGAAUACCGGAGAAUGUUAUCACGGGAGACACACGGCGGGUGCUAACGUCCGUCGUGAAGAGGGAAACAACCCAGACCGCCAGCUAAGGUCCCAAAGUCAUGGUUAAGUGGGAAACGAUGUGGGAAGGCCCAGACAGCCAGGAUGUUGGCUUAGAAGCAGCCAUCAUUUAAAGAAAGCGUAAUAGCUCACUGGUCGAGUCGGCCUGCGCGGAAGAUGUAACGGGGCUAAACCAUGCACCGAAGCUGCGGCAGCGACGCUUAUGCGUUGUUGGGUAGGGGAGCGUUCUGUAAGCCUGUGAAGGUGGCCUGUGAGGGUGGCUGGAGGUAUCAGAAGUGCGAAUGCUGACAUAAGUAACGAUAAAGCGGGUGAAAAGCCCGCUCGCCGGAAGACCAAGGGUUCCUGUCCAACGUUAAUCGGGGCAGGGUGAGUCGACCCCUAAGGCGAGGCCGAAAGGCGUAGUCGAUGGGAAACGGGUUAAUAUUCCCGUACUUGGUGUUACUGCGAAGGGGGGACGGAGAAGGCUAUGUUGGCCGGGCGACGGUU